RNAcentral lists this ribosomal RNA (415 nucleotides) under uncultured Actinomycetes bacterium. Its description in RNAcentral is "bacterial SSU rRNA". It matches the Rfam family "Bacterial small subunit ribosomal RNA", at positions 258 to 688 of the family's 1533-position model. The record is from RNAcentral. Lineage: Bacteria; Bacillati; Actinomycetota; Actinomycetes.
UAACAGCAUACUAAGGCGACGACGGGUAGCCGGCGUGAGAGGGCGACCGGCCACACUGGGAGUGAGACACGGCCCAGACUCCUACGGGAGGCAGCAGUGGGGAAUAUUGCGCAAUGGGCGAAAGCCUGACGCAGCGACGCCGCGUGGGGGAUGAAGGCCUUCGGGUUGUAAACCCCUUUCGGCAGGGACGAAGCGAAAGUGACGGUACCUGCAGAAGAAGCGCCGGCUAACUACGUGCCAGCAGCCGCGGUAACACGUAGGGCGCAAGCGUUGUCCGGAAUCAUUGGGCGUAAAGAGCUGGUAGGUGGUCUGUUGCGUCCGCUGUGAAAAUAUUAUUAACCCCGAGCUUGCAGUGGAUACGGGCAGACUAGAGGUAGGUAGGGGAGAAUGGAAUUCCCGGUGUAGCGGUGAAAUG